This 7566-nucleotide long non-coding RNA is filed under the name Homo sapiens (human). Its description in RNAcentral is "HSALNT0162343". The record is from RNAcentral. Lineage: Eukaryota; Metazoa; Chordata; Mammalia; Primates; Hominidae.
UGAGCAGGGCUCUGAAGAGACAGAUAAAAGGAGAGUCAGAUCCCUGGGUCUGCCUAUUUUCAUGGAGGCUUGGAGCACUGUACAUAUUUCUCCAGUUCCCAGAGGCCAUGACUAGGUCUCCUUCCCUGUUAAAUGGGCAAUACCUUACAUGAAAGUUUGGGAACCAAGGUCACAGAUCGUGAAAUGAAGUUAAACUAGGCUGCUAGAGUUGCCACCUUGGCUCUGUGCAAAGAUCAAAGGCUCUCUUUGGUGAGAAAAAGCCACCCUCAUUGUGCCUGCCAACAUUUUACAUCUGGAUCUACAUAUUAUCUGCUGAUUUUAUAAACUACUUCCUUCCCAGAAAUCCAAACUAGCCUUGUUUUAUAGAUGUGGAACUGCAGUCUCCUAGUUUCUGGAUGAGCUUACACUGGGCCCUUUGGGCUUCUGUCUUCCCACUAGGCCAUGCUAUGGAGAUUGCACAAUGGACCUAUUGCUUCAAAGGAGAGUCACACAACACUCCCCAGCCACUGUGUUGACAGCCCUGGGCUGGAGGAAAGGCAGCAGUCUUCACAGAGCUCACUUUACGGCUGGGCUCACCCUUCACCCCAAGACAGCUUUGAUCACUGGGAAGUUUCCACAAACACAGAAUGAAUGAGGAAGAAGGUGAUUAUAUUUUCGGUGUGAUCCACGUGGACGAGAGGUGUUGCAUGUUUUUACAAAUUGAAGAUCUGUGACAACCCUGGGUCAAGCAAGUCUAUCAGUGCCAUUCUUCCAACAUAGGUGUAUAUGCUGGAGCAGCUGUACUUAAGUCCAGAAAUAAGAAGAUAUUUGAUCUGAGGACUCAGGAGAGAGCAUGGCUGCUGCAUAGAUGGUGCCUUCCAUCGCUUGACAUAGGGAAGCCCAGCCAAAGCCUGUGUCUUGGGCAGCCGGGGAGCUCUCAGGAUGGCUUGAAAUCUCCCACAUGGCCUGGGCCUGUUCUCCUUCCCCUCCAGCUCUCCUGGGUGCAGUCAAAGCUUCACUCCCUACACCCUACUGAACUAUCAGCUGACUGAUUCCCACUUGUCCAUGCCCCAGGACCCCACAGAAGCUCCACAUGCUUCCACAAGCUGAUGCACCAGUUCCAAGAGGAGGAAGAAAAGCUGGCACUCAGCCUUUAUUUCUCCCCAAACACCACAGUCAUUCAAUUCUGAAAAAAAAAAAAAAAAAAAAACCCAUUGCUUUGAAAAACAUAAAAUGAGAUCUAUCAAACAGCAUCUUGUAUUUUAAAGUGGAAAGAAUGGACUUUGGAAUCAUCUUUGGCAGCUAAUAGGCUGGGACACGCAGAGAAAGAGCUUGCCUGCCUCUGCAGACAUUCCUUGGACGAGUGGUUCUAAAUCCCAGCUACACACUCAAAUAGCUGCAGGAGGUUUAAAAACUGUCAAAUCUCCCAGCCCCUGCCCAGCCCAGUCAAUAUUUAUCUCAGGAGGAGGAGCCCUAAAACCAGUGUCUUUUCACAGAGCUCCCUACAUGACUUUGAUGUGUGGCCAGGUGAUAUCUCCUGAGUUCGGAGACACUGAUGCUAUCACUCACACCUAGUCAAAUGAGAGGAGUCGGGGAUGACAGAAGAAUGCAGGCAACUUACCUACCUGAAGCUGGGGCCUCAAGGUCACCAUGCCCUUGAGUGAGCCCUGUAUGGGUCUACCUUGUGUCUGAUGGUUCUCAGCAGGCACAGCUUCUCUUCAGGGCUUCUGCCGACAUCUUCCCUGCAUGUGGAAAAUGGCCUGGGGUCCCCUUAGACUCAGCUCAUGUCCUCCCCUUUGCUCAGGUUCCCUCUGAGUCCCGGUACCCGCCCAUGCUGCAGACCUCCUCAUGACUCCUUCCUCCCUGAGGCCUGGCCAUCUGCACACCCCCAUCCUAUCCUGUCAGCUUGUUUUUUGUCUCUUUGGUGACCAGACAUGAACCCCUCAAGGCUGUUCCCUCCACAUCCCCAGCGCUCAGUUUCAGGCCAGCCCAGGGCAGGAUGCACCUCGUGCAGACCAAGGGAAAGAGCCAGCAGCUGCUUCACAUGAGCCUGUCCUCUGCACCUGAAGAGAAUCUUUGGAAGGCCAGCGCCCCCACUUGUCCUGAAGGUGGAGGGGCUGUUCCCUCUAGCCCACACCUGUCAUUCUAGGACUAACUUUCACUUUUUGGAAGCCAGAGCCACUCCCGACCAUUCAGGGCCUUUCAGCAUUCGGAAGGGACAGUGACUCCUCCUUAGAUACCACAUGUAGGACAGGAGGGAAGUUCAAGAGUGGUGUCAAGGGCCAGAGACAGGGAAGCUGGGGGGUCUGAAAGAAGCUUCCAGGAGAUGUCUUCACUGCAAAAUACCAUACACCAAGGGGCUACAGGCUAAAACAAGACAUGUAUUUCUCACAGUUCUGGAGGUUGGGUGUUGGGGAUUAAGGUGCCAGCCAGCAUGGUGGGUCCCUGGUGAGGACUCUCUUCCUGGCUCACAGGUAGCCGACUUCUCACUGUGUCCUCACAUGUGGGAAAGAAAGCUCUGGUCUCUUCAUCCCCUCGUAAGGACUAAUCCCAUCAUGGAGGCACCACCUUCAUGACCCCAUCUAACCGUAAUUACCUUCUAAAGGCACCACCUCCCAUAAUAUCACCCUGGGGCUUGGGGCUUCAACAUAUGGAUUUGGGGGAACACAGACAUUCAGUCCAUAGCAAGGCACAUGGGGAAGUUGGAGCAUGAGAGCAGAGGAGACACCCACACAUCUCAGGAGAGCAGUCACGUGUUCGGAGGAUGUCAAGCCACGCUGAAGGCCCCUAGCCAUGCUGGGGAGAGCAUGCUCUAGCCAUGGAGUUGAAGAUGAGGUGGGAGUUGCCCUUGAGACCUUUCAUCUAGGACCUCCCAAGUUCCAUGAAGAGACAAGAGAAAACAGUAAGGGCACUGUAUUCAAGGGAAUGAGGGGUGAUGAGUCCCUCUUGGGUUCCUCAGUAAUGUCUUCCAGGACAGUCCAUUGAUUACACCUCUGCACCAGUCAGCGGACUUUUAGUGAGCCCUGGUAAUGUGCCAGAUGCUGUGCUGUGAGUGAGAUGUGCACAUUUCCUUCCUCGUGGAGCUCACACUCUCAUGGGGCAGACACACAAUCACACAAUCGCACACAUGUGCAGUGUGCAGAGCCUCCCUACAGGCUGGCCCGUGCCUUCCAGCUGCAUUCACCUGAUAGGAGGGCCAGCUGGAGACCAGAGGCUGGAGGCAGCCAGGGAGGAAUGUGGGCACUGGUUUUCUGACUCCCUGCCCGCUGCAUUCUCUGCAGCAGGCCCAGUUCCCGCCCAGCCCCCAUGCUGCACAAGGUUCUGAGAAUCACUCCUGCCCCCACUCCAUCAGGUCCCACUUAAGGUAGCUCCACUGGCUUAGAGGACCACCCCACCCCAGGGGCUUCACCUAAACCAGUCACACUUUGUAGACAGUCCCCUCAUUGAACUCUGAUCAAAUUACCCAAUUUAAAUAUACCAUCUGUUUCCCGCAGGGACUCUGACUGACCCAGUGACCUAGUCUAGGAGGUUAGGGAGUCUUCUGAGAAAAGGAUGCUUGAGCUGAACUCUGAAGGAUUAAAUUCUCACUGCUUUUAAUAGUAGGAUCCAACAUGUGUGUUUAGUCAGUAGUGGGGGUCCUGGUAAGCUUGAGCCUGCAGUGAGGGGUGCUGCAGGGGACACAGGCGAACCCAUGAAGCCCCUCACCCCACCUCUUAGCCAUGCCUGGCCAGGGAGGGCAUCCCUAGACCCAGGCUCAGCUAUAAGAAAGAGCAAGAACCAACAAACAUUUCUUAAGCACCACUCCGGGGCCAGGCCGUGUGCUGGGCCUGAACGCUUCUCAUAGGUGACGUGGAGACCUGGGGGUGGCUGCCAUCUGGUGCUCUGGGUUUUGAGGGGUGCUCUCUGAAAGACCAAGCUGAGCAGCAGGAGGCCCAGAAAUGGGGGCUCCCAUUAGACAUUGUGGCCAGUCUCACAGCACAGCCAGAAGGGCCAGCACUGCAGGGAGGGGAGCAGAGGGGAGGAUGUGCUCUUUGGCCAGGCGAAAGCCUGGUCCCCAGGACUGAGGUCCUAGAGAAUCAGGGAUGCAGGAGAAUGAUGAAGAGAGAGGUCUCAAGGCCAAAGACAAUAAGGUGAACUGUCAGAAAGUCUGGGAGAAAGAUGAUUUGAGGGUGACCCGAGAGGCUUGCUGUCAAAUGUCCCAAGAUCGGACAGUCGAGCAAGGCAGCAUGAUGGAAGGAAUCUAGCCCUGUCCAUCCACAUAAGCCCAAUUGCAAGUGCACUGUUGGAGUCAUGAAAAAUGUAAUGUCUAGUUCUGGUGUGAGCAGGGCCACUCUCUUCCAAAGAUACUCCCAUGGGAACAGAAAAAAAGGGUAGAAGCCCGAAGAGCCAUAAAAGGCAGCAAGGUCAGGAAGCCACCAGAAUGUCAGUGAGAUGUUUAAUUUUGAAAAUCAAUUAAUGUAAUGUGUCAUAUCAACAGAUCGAAGGGAGAAAGUCCAUGCUCAGGUUUAUAGAUGCAAAGAUCUGUUUGAUAAAAUUCAACAUCCACUCAUGACUUAAUAAAGAAACAAAACCUAUGGCAAAUCACAUGUAAAAGUGUUUAAGAUAUUCCCUUUAAUAUCAGAAAAGUGGCAAGAAUGCCUUCUUUUAUCUUUUCAAUGCUGUAAUGCAUUAAAGGGCUUAGGCAGUGCAAUAAGAAGAAAAAAGAAAUAAAAGAGAGAUUGGAAAGCAAUAAUCAAAGCUGUCAUUAUUUGAGGCAGAUAGAUAAUUGAAAGUACCUCUGAUUGGUUGCAGCAGACAAUCAGAUGUUUGCAUAGAGUAAGUUUGUAACUUCAGCCUCUGGUUGCUUUCCAAAACAAUUAGACUGAUUGCCGGCCACCACUUCAUUUACAUGGGGUGAACACCAAGUGGCCAAUGGGAAACCUCUAGGGGAUAUUUGGACCCCGGAAGAUACUGUAACCGAGGCCCUUGAGCUGCUGCUCUGGCCCACUCCCACCCUGUGGCAUGUACUUUCAUUUUCAAUAAAUUUCUACUUUUGCUGCUUCAGUCUUUCCUUGCUUUGCUGUGUGUUUUGUUCAAUUCUUUGUUCAAAACACCAAGAACCUAGACAACUUGCAGUCGAUACCCUCUACAGUUAACAAGCUGGGGAAUGCUCCUUCCAGGGUCCCAAGGUCCUUGCCUGGCUGAGCUUCUGGUGGCUGCCAGCAUUCCUCGGCUUGUGGCCGCAUCACUCCAUUCUCCAUCUCCAUGGUCACAUCACUUCUUUUCUGUCUGUUUUCAGCCUCCCUCUGCCUCUCUUAUAAAGACAUUUGUGAUGCAUUUAGGGCAUACCUGGUUACUACAGGAUAAUCCCCCUUAUCAAACUCCUUAACCUAAUCACAUCUGGAAUACAUUGUUUUUGCCUAGAAAUUCAUAUUCACAGGUUGCAGGGGUUAGGACCUUCUCAGGCACCAAAUGAUAAGAAAUCAUCUUUCUGAGUAACCCACAUGGAGUGGCCGCUGGGUCCUAGAGGCGCCGUUGGCCUGACAGCAGAACUCAGGGACUCUUAAUGCCCUUGCAAAAUGAAUGCAUUUGCAUGUGGGAAGGUCUCUUGGAGUCUGCCUUAGCUCCUCUCACACAAGGUAGCAGACCUGGCCACCUUCCUCACUUGGACAGAGAGCCCUGGGGAGCUCUCAAAAAGUAGCCAGGCCCUAGAUCAAUUCAGUCAGGACCAGUGGGGGUGGGGUCCCUGCACCAAUAGGUUGUUUAACCUUCCCAGGUGAUUCUGCUGUUCAGGCAGGGCUGGGAACCAUGAACCAGGUGGACAUUAAUGUCCCUUGCAGGUGAGACAUUUGACAAAUAAGCAGAAAUGGAGCCAGGGUCUCCACUCUGGCUCCACAUCAGCAUCCCCCAGGGUAGGGACAUUGAAAAGACAGGUUUCUGCUCCCUCCCCAAGGCAGGUGAUCUAAUUGGUCUGGGUGUGACCUGGACAUCAGGACCUUCAAAUUUUCCCAGUGAUUUCCACGUGCACCCAGGUUGAGAACGCUGCGGCCCAUAAAAGGGAGCCUUACACUGUCACUGCUAUUGCAAAGGACAAUUAUCAGACCUGGGGAGACCUUCCUGAUUCUGAGUUUCCAAACCACAGAACAGCUUGUUCAGGGAGACUGUGGAAGUCAUUUCUCUAGAAAUCUUGACUGAUUCAGGAGGUUUCUAGCUGUCAGAGGAUUUAGCUAUGGUUCUGCUGUAUGAAGGUGGAGGCAUGGAUUAGGUGAUUUUCAAAAUACCCUACAACUUCUUGAGUUUAUGAAAAGUGAUAUCAUGCCUCCCCUUGAUAGAUUCCUUCACCAUUUAGACAAAGAAUAUAAAAAGAAUUAAAAUAACCCAAUGAAUUCAGGAUUGUGGAAAAUGUCAUUACUGGUAAUGAAAAUUACAGGAAGUCUUGCUGGCGCUUGCUCCCUCCCCAAAACUAACAUGAGAACAUGUUUUUUCUUCUGAUGCAAUAAUUAAGUUUGCCCAAGAAAAUGUCUCUGUGCGCACCUCAGGGCAGGGGCUAAAUGAAGCCUUUAACUAAACGAUAAAUGUGAUCGUCUCCAUGGACUGAACCCUGCCAGGGCAGACUGGCUUCCCAAGUGGAUUAAUUAACUCUUAGCAGCCCUGUGCUGGGAGGCUCUACAGAAGGGAUUUGAGAUUCCUGAGGCCCAGAAAGAUGACUUUAUUAAGAAAUGGAAGACAUUUGGGGUGACUUCUGUAGCUGGUGGCAGCCACAGUUCUAGGAUCAGAGCCUAGAAGUCAAGACCUCAAGAUGGAAAUAACAGUUCAAAGGCAGUCUCAUCAGAUAGCACUGGGAGGAAGACACAGAUUGGUUCAGCACUGAGCACAGACGAUGUGUCUACCCUGUGUGUCUCCCUGCUCUCAGGAGGUCGUGCUGUAGUGGAGGACAGAUCUCAAUGCAGGAGUCUCCCAGCUGGGUGGGGAUGGGUGUGCUCAGAGCACUGACCCAGACUGGGGCUGGGAUGGGUGGCAUCUGGCUGGAGAGCUGAAGACUGGGAGGAAGUAAAACAGGGCUCGGAGCCAGGAAGUGGAUGCACAGGCCACAGUAGAAGCAGAUCAUUUACUCAGUUGCAGAACACGCAAUGAAGGUUUAGCCUCACUAGCAAUCAAUGAAACAAAAAAUUAAAAGCCUCUUGCAGAGUCAUUUUUCUCCUCUGGAAGAAUACUCAAGGGAUGAGCGGGGUGUAAUGAACUGGUUCUCCCUGUCUUGAGGGUGAAAGUGUGAACCAUCAUGAACCUUCCAAAAAAUAAUUUGGCAUUCUGUGUCAGGCCCAGAUGUAUCUUGCAACUAAUUAUUUUCACUCAUGAGAAUUUAUUCCAAGAAGCAAUCCACCUUCCAAAGGCUUUAUGCCCUGCACUGCUAUUUAUAAGAGUUGUCAGCAGAAGCCAAACCCUUCUCCUGCCAGCACAUAGAAAUAACCUUUAUGCCCCCAGCUAGGUGUACAUGUAUUCCAUAUAAGGGAUAUUAUUAGGCUAUGAAUAUAAAAUGUAUGAAGACAUAAAAAAUGCCAAUGAUACAAAAAUAUUAAAUGUGACAUGCAACAUAAAAACUAUAUUUAU